Molecule: ribosomal RNA, 727 nt
Filed under: uncultured bacterium
Lineage: Bacteria
Description: bacterial SSU rRNA
Rfam family: Bacterial small subunit ribosomal RNA
Source: RNAcentral
AGAGUUUGAUCCUGGCUCAGAGCGAACGCUGGCGGCAGGCCUAACACAUGCAAGUCGAGCGGCCGUAGCAAUACGGCAGCGGCAGACGGGAGAGUAACACGUGGGAACGCGCCCUUCGGUUCGGAAUAACUCAGGGAAACUUGGGCUAAUACCGGAUACGCCCUUACGGGGAAAGAUUUAUUGCCGAAGGAACGGCCCGCGUCCGAUUAGCUAGUUGGUGAGGUAAUGGCUCACCAAGGCGACGAUCGGUAGCUGGUCUGAGAGGAUGACCAGCCUCACUGGGACUGAGACACGGCCCAGACUCCUACGGGAGGCAGCAGUGGGGAAUAUUGGACAAUGGGCGCAAGCCUGAUCCAGCCAUGCCGCGUGGAUGAUGAAGGCCUUAGGGUUGUAAAGUCCUUUCAGCGGGGAAGAUAAUGACGGUACCCGCAGNAAGAAGCCCCGGCUAACUUCGUGCCAGGCAGCCGCGGUUAAUACGAAGGGGGCUAGCGUUGCUCGGAAUUACUGGGCGUAAAGCGCACGUAGGCGGCUCUUUAAGUCGGGGGUGAAAUCCUGGGAGCUCAACUCCAGAACUGGCUUCGAUACUGAAGAGCUCGAGUCCGGGGANGAGGUGAGUGGAACUGCNANNUGUAGAGGUGAAAUUCGUAGUAUAUUCGCAAGGAACACCCGUGGGCGAAGGCGGCCCACUGGCCCGGGUACUGACCGCUGAGGUGCGANAGCGGUGGGG